GUGCCAGCAGCCGCGGUAAUACGUAGGUGGCAAGCGUUGUCCGGAAUUAUUGGGCGUAAAGCGCGCGCAGGCGGUUCCUUAAGUCUGAUGUGAAAGCCCCCGGCUCAACCGGGGAGGGUCAUUGGAAACUGGGGAACUUGAGUGCAGAAGAGAAGAGUGGAAUUCCACGUGUAGCGGUGAAAUGCGUAGAGAUGUGGAGGAACACCAGUGGCGAAGGCGACCCUUUGGUCUGUAACUGACGCUGAGGCGCGAAAGCGUGGGGAGCAAACAGGAUUAGAUACCCUGGUAGUCCACGCCGUAAACGAUGAGUGCUAAGUGUUAGAGGGUUUCCGCCCUUUAGUGCUGCAGCAAACGCAUUAAGCACUCCGCCUGGGGAGUACGGCCGCAAGGCUGAAACUCAAAGGAAUUGACGG
Molecule: ribosomal RNA, 413 nt
Filed under: uncultured organism
Description: SSU rRNA
Rfam family: Bacterial small subunit ribosomal RNA
Source: RNAcentral